GAGUUUGAUCAUGGCUCAGGAUGAACGCUGGCGGUAUGCCUAACACAUGCAAGUCGAACGGAAGUUUUUAAAACUUUAGUGGCGGACGGGUGAGUAACGCGUGAGAAUUUGCCUUUAGGAGGGGAGCAACAGUUAGAAAUGACUGCUAAUGCCCCAUAUGCUUUAAUAGUGAAAUGGAUUUAUCCGCCUGAAGAGAAGCUCGCGUCUGAUUAGCUAGUUGGUAAGGUAAUGGCUUACCAAGGCGACGAUCAGUAACUGGUUCGAGAGGAUGAUCAGUCACACUGGAACUGAGACACGGUCCAGACUCCUACGGGAGGCAGCAGUGGGGAAUUUUCUGCAAUGGGCGAAAGCCUGACAGAGCAAUACCGCGUGAGGGAUGAAGGCUCGUGGGUCGUAAACCUCUUUUUUCAAGGAGGAAUAAAUGACGUGUACUUGAAGAAUAAGCAUCGGCUAACUCCGUGCCAGCAGCCGCGGUAAGACGGAGGAUGCAAGUGUUAUCCGGAAUCACUGGGCGUAAAGCGUCUGUAGGUGGUUUAAUAAGUCUAUUGUUAAAGCUUGAGGCUUAACUUCAAAUCAGCAAUGGAAACUAUUAGACUUGAGUAUAGUAGAGGUAAAAGGAAUUUCCAGUGGAGCGGUGAAAUGCGUAGAUAUUGGAAAGAACACCGAUGGCGAAGGCAUUUUACUGGGCUAUAACUGACACUCAGAGACGAAAGCUAGGGUAGCAAAUGGGAUUAGAUACCCCAGUAGUCCUAGCAGUAAACAAUGGAUACUAGAUGUUGCCCGUAUCAACCCGUGCAGUAUCGAAGCUAACGCGUUAAGUAUCCCGCCUGGGAAGUAUGCUCGCAAGAGUGAAACUC
This 857-nucleotide ribosomal RNA is filed under the name uncultured bacterium. RNAcentral's name for it is "bacterial SSU rRNA". It matches the Rfam family "Bacterial small subunit ribosomal RNA", at positions 9 to 902 of the family's 1533-position model. The record is from RNAcentral.